Molecule: ribosomal RNA, 425 nt
Filed under: uncultured bacterium
Lineage: Bacteria
Description: bacterial SSU rRNA
Rfam family: Bacterial small subunit ribosomal RNA
Source: RNAcentral
GUGGGGGAUAUUGCACAAUGGGGGGAACCCUGAUGCAGCAACGCCGCGUGAGUGAAGAAGUAUUUCGGUAUGUAAAGCUCUAUCAGCAGGGAAGAUGAUGACGGUACCUGCAUAAGAAGCCCCGGCUAACUACGUGCCAGCAGCCGCGGUAAUACGUAGGGGGCAAGCGUUAUCCGGAUUUACUGGGUGUAAAGGGAGUGUAGGCGGUACGGCAAGUCUGAUGUGAAAACCCUAAGCUCAACUAAGGGAGUGCAUUGGAAACUGUCGGACUAGAGUGUGGGAGAGGCAGGCGGAAUUCCUAGUGUAGCGGUGAAAUGCGUAGAUAUUAGGAGGAACACCAGUGGCGAAGGCGGCCUGCUGGACCAAGACUGACGCUGAGGCUCGAAAGCGUGGGGAGCAAACAGGAUUAGAAACCCUAGUAGUCC